This 73-nucleotide transfer RNA is filed under the name Camelus bactrianus (Bactrian camel). It matches the Rfam family "tRNA". Rfam says of the family: Transfer RNA (tRNA) molecules are approximately 80 nucleotides in length. Their secondary structure includes four short double-helical elements and three loops (D, anti-codon, and T loops). Further hydrogen bonds mediate the characteristic L-shaped molecular structure. tRNAs have two regions of fundamental functional importance: the anti-codon, which is responsible for specific mRNA codon recognition, and the 3' end, to which the tRNAs corresponding amino acid is attached (by aminoacyl-tRNA synthetases). tRNAs cope with the degeneracy of the genetic code in two manners: having more than one tRNA (with a specific anti-codon) for a particular amino acid; and 'wobble' base-pairing, i.e. permitting non-standard base-pairing at the 3rd anti-codon position. Lineage: Eukaryota; Metazoa; Chordata; Mammalia; Artiodactyla; Camelidae. RNAcentral also lists the same sequence under 2 other names. The record is from Rfam by way of RNAcentral.
GGUGGUAUAGCACAGUGGUAGAGUGCACGCCUAGCAUGCAUGAGUUUCUGGGUUCAAUCCCCCAGUAUCUCCA